UACGAAGGGAGCUAGCGUUGUUCGGAAUCACUGGGCGUAAAGCGCACGUAGGCCGAUUCGUAAGUCAGGGGUGAAAUCCCGGGGCUCAACCUCGGAACUGCCUCUGAUACUGCGAAUCUCGAGUCCGGAAGAGGUGGGUGGAAUUCCUAGUGUAGAGGUGAAAUUCGUAGAUAUUAGGAAGAACACCGGUGGCGAAGGCGGCCCACUGGUCCGGUACUGACGCUGAGGUGCGAAAGCGUGGGGAGCAAACAGG
This 253-nucleotide ribosomal RNA is filed under the name uncultured bacterium. Its description in RNAcentral is "partial 16S ribosomal RNA". It matches the Rfam family "Bacterial small subunit ribosomal RNA", at positions 524 to 776 of the family's 1533-position model. The record is from RNAcentral.